ACACAUGCAGUCGAACGGUAGCACAGAGGAGCUUGCUCUUGGGUGACGAGUGGCGGACGGGUGAGUAAUGUCUGGGAAACUGCCCGAUGGAGGGGGAUAACUACUGGAAACGGUAGCUAAUACCGCAUAACGUCGCAAGACAAAGAGGGGGACCUUCGGGCCUCUUGCCAUCGGAUGUGCCCAGAUGGGAUUAGCUAGUAGGUGGGGUAACGGCUCACCUAGGCGACGAUCCCUAGCUGGUCUGAGAGGAUGACCAGCCACACUGGAACUGAGACACGGUCCAGACUCCUACGGGAGGCAGCAGUGGGGAAUAUUGCACAAUGGGCGC
This 328-nucleotide ribosomal RNA is filed under the name bacterium xpnta266lbim15onp9.8. RNAcentral's name for it is "bacterial SSU rRNA". It matches the Rfam family "Bacterial small subunit ribosomal RNA", at positions 51 to 378 of the family's 1533-position model. The record is from RNAcentral.